RNAcentral lists this long non-coding RNA (931 nucleotides) under Homo sapiens (human). RNAcentral describes it as "HSALNT0047245". Lineage: Eukaryota; Metazoa; Chordata; Mammalia; Primates; Hominidae. The record is from RNAcentral.
GGAUUCUUCUGGAGGAAUGAGAAGAGAUGCUGAAGCUGGCAUAAGGCUGAUGCAGGGACAAAAUAGAUGUUCUUACAGCCACAUUGUGCUGUUCACAUGGUCUGUGCAGAAGUCAUCAUGUUUAAAACAGAGUGUGAAAUGCUCGUCCUACUGCGAAGUGAAAGGUUCUUUCCACCCUUGUCCUCCAGAUGCAACUUCUCCUGGAGACCCCAGCAUUGCUGUUGCCCUCACCACACUCAUGCAGCAGGGCUGCUCCCCUUCACUCCUCGGGCUCCAGGAGACCAGCCUCUUCCCUAACCCCUCAGUGAUUCCUUGAAAUAGACUGGAAUAGUGAACCGACUUACUGAGGGUUUAGGAAAAGCAGAAGGGAACUAUACACCAAGAAGAACUUAACAUACGGUGUUAAAUAUACCUGCUCUUGGCCCUGGUCUUUCUCAAGGGGGUGUCUCACAGGGGAUUCCCUGUCUAGCAACUGCUGCCCCCUUGUGGCAAAAACUAUCCUUCUCCCGGCCUCAGGGUCUUUCUUGAGUAUAGGCAGGUGUUUUGCAGUCUAGGCCCCCGUCUUUUUUCUCCUGUGUCCCCAGUGACUAUUUUCUGCCCUUGGGGCUGAUUUUCCCUAGAUGAUUAAUAGAGGGAGUCUCCCACCUCCUGGGACUACCCCAUCUUUGACUCCUUUCUAGUCUAGGCGUUAGAGCACAAUAGUCCAACAUCAGUAAAAGCAAAGCAUGAGUGGCUAUUGUCCCCUUACACUUCCUGUUACCAUCUAUGAAUGAUAAAAGAGCCCAGGAGGAAAGCACAACUUAGCUUAAAAAAUAGGCUUGCCGGCUGGGCAUGGUGGCUUAUGCCUGUAAUCCCAGUGCUUUGGGAGGCAAAGGCAGGAGGAUCACUAGAGGCUAGGAGUUCAAGAUAAGCCUGGGCAGUAUAUCAGGAC